AUACGAAGGGUGCAAGCGUUACUCGGAAUUACUGGGCGUAAAGCGUGCGUAGGUGGUUGUUUAAGUCUGUCGUGAAAGCCCUGGGCUCAACCUGGGAAUGGCGAUGGAAACUGGGCGACUAGAGUGUGGCAGAGGGUAGUGGAAUUCCUGGUGUAGCAGUGAAAUGCGUAGAGAUCAGGAGGAACAUCCGUGGCGAAGGCGACUGCCUGGGCCAACACUGACACUGAGGCACGAAAGCGUGGGGAGCAAACAGGAUUAGAUACCCUGGUAGUCCACGCCCUAAACGAUGCGAACUGGAUGUUGGGCGCAAUUUGGCACGCAGUAUCGAAGCUAACGCGUUAAGUUCGCCGCCUGGGGAGUACGGUCGCAAGACUGAAACUCAAAUGAAUUGACGG
This 395-nucleotide ribosomal RNA is filed under the name uncultured bacterium. Its description in RNAcentral is "partial 16S ribosomal RNA". It matches the Rfam family "Bacterial small subunit ribosomal RNA", at positions 523 to 916 of the family's 1533-position model. The record is from RNAcentral.